This 1252-nucleotide ribosomal RNA is filed under the name metagenome. RNAcentral's name for it is "bacterial LSU rRNA". It matches the Rfam family "Bacterial large subunit ribosomal RNA", at positions 1635 to 2877 of the family's 2925-position model. The record is from RNAcentral.
UACACGACCGUACCGCAAACCGACACUGGUGCGCGAGAUGAGUAUUCUAAGGCGCUUGAGAGAACUCAGGAGAAGGAACUCGGCAAAUUGACACCGUAACUUCGGAAGAAGGUGUGCCUUUAGUAGGUGAACCAUUUACUUGGGGAGCCCAAUGAGGCUGCAAAAAAUCGGUGGCUGCAACUGUUUAUUAAAAACACAGCACUCUGCUAAGACGAAAGUCGACGUAUAGGGUGUGACGCCUGCCCGGUGCUGGAAGAUUAAAUGAUGGGGUGCAAGCUCUUGAUUGAAGUCCCAGUAAACGGCGGCCGUAACAAUAACGGUCCUAAGGUAGCGAAAUUCCUUGUCGGGUAAGUUCCGACCUGCACGAAUGGCGUAAUGAUGGCCACACUGUCUCCUCCUGAGACUCAGCGAAGUUGAAAUGUUUGUGAUGAUGCAAUCUCCCCGCGGAAAGACGGAAAGACCCCAUGAACCUUUACUGUAGCUUUGUAUUGGACUUUGAACAGAUCUGUGUAGGAUAGGUGGGAGGCUUUGAAGUGUGGUCGCUAGAUCGCAUGGAGCCAACGUUGAAAUACCACCCUGGUGUGUUUGAGGUUCUAACCUAGGUCCAUUAUCUGGAUCGGGGACAGUGCAUGGUGGGCAGUUUGACUGGGGCGGUCUCCUCCCAAAGUGUAACGGAGGAGUUCGAAGGUACGCUAGGUACGGUCGGACAUCGUGCUAAUAGUGCAAUGGCAUAAGCGUGCUUAACUGCGAGACUGACAAGUCGAGCAGAUGCGAAAGCAGGACAUAGUGAUCCGGUGGUUCUGUAUGGAAGGGCCAUCGCUCAACGGAUAAAAGGUACUCUGGGGAUAACAGGCUGAUACCGCCCAAGAGUUCAUAUCGACGGCGGUGUUUGGCACCUCGAUGUCGGCUCAUCUCAUCCUGGGGCUGUAGCCGGUCCCAAGGGUAUGGCUGUUCGCCAUUUAAAGAGGUACGUGAGCUGGGUUUAAAACGUCGUGAGACAGUUUGGUCCCUAUCUUCCGUGGGCGCUGCAGAUUUGAGGAAGCCUGCUCCUAGUACGAGAGGACCGGAGUGGACGAACCUCUGUGUAUCGGUUGUCACGCCAGUGGCAUUGCCGAGUAGCUAAGUUCGGAAGAGAUAACCGCUGAAAGCAUCUAAGCGGGAAACUCGUUUCAAGAUUAGAUCUGCCGGGGCCUUGAGCCCCCUAAAGAGUCGUUCAAGACCAGGACGUUGAUAGGUCAGGUGUGGAAGCCAA